This 74-nucleotide transfer RNA is filed under the name Vararia minispora EC-137. RNAcentral describes it as "tRNA-Val". It matches the Rfam family "tRNA". From Rfam's summary of the family: Transfer RNA (tRNA) molecules are approximately 80 nucleotides in length. The record is from RNAcentral. Lineage: Eukaryota; Fungi; Basidiomycota; Agaricomycetes; Russulales; Lachnocladiaceae.
GGUUUGAUGGUGUAGUUGGUUAUCACGUCUGUCUCACACACAGGAGGUCUCCGGUUCGAGCCCGGGUCAAACCA